GUGUUGUAAGAAAGGAGAGAAGGUUAGCACUCCCCUUGACAAGGACGGAUGAGACCCUUGUGGUCUAACAACACACAAAGGCAUGUCUCUCUACUUUGGAGACAAACCAUUUUUUUU
Molecule: small nuclear RNA, 117 nt
Organism: Physella acuta
Lineage: Eukaryota; Metazoa; Mollusca; Gastropoda; Physidae
Source: RefSeq, a predicted model, not a curated record